Molecule: long non-coding RNA, 2179 nt
Organism: Camelina sativa (false flax)
Lineage: Eukaryota; Viridiplantae; Streptophyta; Magnoliopsida; Brassicales; Brassicaceae
Source: RefSeq, a predicted model, not a curated record
AUUUGUUCAUAAUUAUGAUGUUUUACAUUAAAACCAAAAAACUUACAUACUAAUUCAAUCGACUAUUAUUUCCUUGAUUUCCCCAGAUUUUACAGAAGAUCGUUUCCACACAUGCAUGCUAUGUUAACCUUUAGGAUGUUUUUCUAUAUUUAUAGGUACUAUAUGAUCAAAAAAUUCGAGGUUUUAAUUUAUUUUUGUUGUUUGCUGCUCGUGACCAUUCCUUCGAGCAUCAUCACCAUUCACCGGUAACCUCCAAACCAUGAUCCAAUUCCAAUUCUACGCAUCCAUUCGUCUCCACGACUAUUGUUCUCACAUUCCCAUUUAGCAAAAAAAAAAAUCACAAUCGAUUUUUGAAAGGAAAAAAAAAAUUCUUAGAAGAGAUUGAAACAGAUCCGCGUGUGCCAGCAGUGGAACCUGACCCGAAGGCAUACUCGUAUGGUGAAGGUGCGAAUCGUCAUUUAAAGGAGGAAGCGGUGGCGACGGAGGUUCUGAGAUUGGAGCGACGGAUCUUUCAAUUGCUUGAAAAUUAAGGACCUGCUUUGUCCUAUUUGUAUGCAGAUAGUUAAUAAUGCUUUUCUCCGGCUUGCGGUCAUAGCUUCUGCUAUCAUCGCACAUCUUAAGAACAAGAGCGAUUCCCCUUGUUCUAGCCAAAAUCUGACUAACAAUCAUCGUUCUUACUCAUAAGUAGUGAAGCUAAAGCUGAAAAGGGUGGACGGAAGAGAAAGAUCGGUGCAGAGCAACAAAAAUUAAGAAGAACGAUAAAAAGAAAUUCAUGGCUGUGUAUUGUCUUAGUACUCUGCUCCUACUUACCGUCGCAGCUUUUAAUGGUAUUUUAUUCAUCUCUAGAAUACAUGUGAUCUUGAUUUUGUUAGCAGAUUGAUGUAUCCCUGAAUAGUUUGCUUUUGAAACUUUAGUUUGAGCUUCGAUUUUAAUUUGAAAUGUUCGCAAGGCAAGGCUUCUAAUCUUAUUGUAGUGGUUUGAUCUAGGAUCUAGAGUUCGAUCAAUCAUCUUCGAUGCAUUCUGAAAAAUAAAUCUUGGAAUCAAAAUUGGAUUGUAUGAGAGAUAUAUGAUUAUAUCGUCUCUGUUUGGUCACGUGUGGUUGCUGAGAACAGAGAUUGGAGUUCUCAUUAUAAUCUUUGCAUCAUCGUCCAUAUCUUUUAGGUAAAAAUAUUGAAAAUCAAAACUCAUAUGUUUUUAAACUUACGGGGUCACAGUUUAUAGUGAUACAUACUUUUGUGGAACUUCAUUUUGAAAAAUCAUUAUUUGUGGAUUUUAUUGUUAUUUCUAGUGGUUUUGCAUAUCGUUUGAUGAAGAUAUAACAUCUGUUCUCGCAUUGGUAGUCAUGUCAUUUACUAUGUGUGUUUCAUUUGGUGUUUGGGUUCCCUCAGUUAUACUUCCUUAGGGUUUAGUGUUCUGCGUUUAACUGGCUACUUGGGUCCCCUCAGUUGUAGUUCCUUAGGGUUUAGUGUUCCUUAAUAACAAUGCGGUUAACGAGCUGCUUGGGGUCCCUCAGUUAUACUUCUUUAGGGUUUAGUGUUCUGCGGUUAACUGGUUACUUGGGUUCCCUCAGUUGUAGUUCCUUAGGGUUUAUAGUUCCUUAAUAAGAGUGCGGUGAACUAGCUACUUGGGGUUCCCUCAGUAAUAGUCCUUAGGGUAUAGUUUUUCUUAAUACAUGUAUGUGUGUUUGAUUCGGUCCAAUACAUUAGUUGUCCUCAUUUGCAUUCCCUUAAUACUCUUCCCCUUGUAAGUUCUGUUAAGUACAUGGCUUCUACUAGCCGCCGAACUCUUCACUCACGAGGUAUACAUACUCGAGUCCAUGAAUUUCUUCCUUUCUCUAUGAUUUCUUGCUAUAUUUGAGCUUAUAUGACAAUGUUUGUUUAAUGGUUUGCUUGUUAUUAAUUAUCUUCCUGAACAAAUCAUUUUUACAUGGUUGGUGGCGUCGACGAGAUAGUUGUGAAGGCAAAAAACUUUUCCAAGGAGUCGACAGCUUAAAGGACUGAUUUACUUCUUCUUUUUUUCAUAGCUGUUGUAUAGUUGUCUUAUGAGAUCAAAGGUUGAUAAGUAUAUGUAAUUUUGUUUAGUUUUUUCUACUUCUUGUUUAGGUAUUUAGGAUUGACAAUGAAAACCAAACAAUUGCUAAUUUACGUUAUAUAUGAAGACUAAAUGUCUCUCUUUUUCA